Molecule: ribosomal RNA, 460 nt
Filed under: uncultured bacterium
Lineage: Bacteria
Description: partial 16S ribosomal RNA
Rfam family: Bacterial small subunit ribosomal RNA
Source: RNAcentral
CCUACGGGUGGCAGCAGUGAGGAAUAUUGGUCAAUGGGCGCUAGCCUGAACCAGCCAAGUAGCGUGAAGGAUGACUGCCCUAUGGGUUGUAAACUUCUUUUAUAUGGGAAUAAAGUGCCAUAUGUAUACUGCUUUGCAUGUACCUUAUGAAUAAGGAUCGGCUAACUCCGUGCCAGCAGCCGCGGUAAUACGGAAGAUCCGAGCGUUAUCCGGAUUUAUUGGGUUUAAAGGGGGCGUAGGCGGGUUGUUAAGUCUGUUGUGAAAGUUUGGGGCUCAACCGUAGAAUUGCAGUGGAUACUGGCAUUCUUGAGUACAGGAGAGGUAGGCGGAAUUCGUGGUGUAGCGGUGAAAUGCUUAGAUAUCACGAAGAACUCCGAUUGCGAAGGCAGCCUGCUGGACUGGAACUGACGCUGAUGCUCGAAAGCGUGGGUAUCGAACAGGAUUAGAUACCCCAGUAGUC